ACAUCAUACAUCUGUGUGUAUAUUUAAUAACCACACUGAAUAACCACGCAACCAAGGUGUAGCACACACAUACACACACAUACACACACAUACACACACAUACACACACAUGCACGCACAUGCACACAUAUACACACACAUACACACACAUACACACACAUACACACACAUACACACAUACACACACAUACACACACAUACACACACAUGCACACACAUGCACACACAUGCACACACAUGCACACACACAAUCAACAUACAGAUAGAGUAAAGCAAGGAGAAGUGGGCAAUGCAACUGCUGAGUGUCGUACAGAUAACAUAAUCGAGAAAUAAAUUCCUGCUUUCCAUCAGCACAUCUUA
Molecule: long non-coding RNA, 360 nt
Filed under: Volvox carteri
Lineage: Eukaryota; Viridiplantae; Chlorophyta; Chlorophyceae; Chlamydomonadales; Volvocaceae
Description: long non-coding RNA (VCAR_LNC003501)
Source: RNAcentral